AACCAAGGCAGGCAGUGGUUCAGUCUCUAUAACUAACUGUGGAUACAGGCAGUGGUUCAGUCUCUAUAACUAACUGUGGAUUCAGGCAGUGGUUCAGUCUCUGUAACUAACUGUGGAUUCAGGCAGUGGUUCAGUCUCUAUAACUAACUGUGGAUUCAGGCAGUGGUUCAGUCUCUAUAACUAGCUGUGGAUUCAGGCAGUGGUUCAGUCUCUAUAACUAACUGUGGAUACAGGCAGUGGUUCAGUCUCUAUAACUAACGGUGGAUUCAGGCAGUGGUUCAGUCUCUAUAACUAACGGUGGAUUCAGGCAGUGGUUCAGUCUCUGUAACUAACUGUGGAUUCAGGCAGUGGUUCAGUCUCUAUAACUAACUGUGGAUUCAGGCAGUGGUUCAGUCUCUAUAACUAACUGUGGAUUCAGGCAGUGGUUCAGUCUCUAUAACUAACUGUGGAUACAGGCAGUGGUUCAGUCUCUAUAACUAGCUGUGGAUUCAGGCAGUGGUUCAGUCUCUAUAACUAACUGUGGAUUCAGGCAGUGGUUCAGUCUCUAUAACUAACUGUGGAUUCAGGCAGUGGUUCAGUCUCUAUAACUAACGGUGGAUUCAGGCAGUGGUUCAGUCUCUAUAACUAACUGUGGAUUCAGGCAGUGGUUAAGUCUCUAUAACUAACUGUGGAUUCAGGCAGUGGUUCAGUCUCUAUAACUAACUGUGGAUUCAGGCAGUGGUUCAGUCUCUGUAACUAACUGUGGAUACAGGCAGUGGUUAAGUCUCUAUAACUAACUGUGGAUACAGGCAGUGGUUAAGUCACUAUAACUAGCUGUGGAUUUGGGCAGUGGUUCAAUCUCUAUAGCUAAUUGUGGAUUCAGGCAGUGGUUCAGUCUCUAUAACUAACUGUGGAUUCAGGCAGUGGUUCAGUCUCUAUAACUAACUGUGGAUUCAGGCAGUGGUUCAGUCUCUAUAACUAACUGUGGAUUCAGGCAGUGGUUCAGUCUCUAUAACUAGCUGUGGAUUCAGGCAGUGGUUCAGUCUCUAUAACUAACUGUGGAUUUGGGCAGUGGGUCGGGGUGAGUGGCCCCGUUACCUCUGAGGAAUGUUCGGUGACCUUUUGACCCCACCAGACUCCAAGGGUGUUAGCCCCACUGACAGCACACACACACACACACACACACACACACACACACACACACACACACACACACACACACACACACACACACACACACACACACACACACACACACACACACACACACACACACACACACACACACACUCUACAGGCUGCAGCAGAGCAGAGGCCAUUUGGUGCUCCCAAUAAAUUAUUUACCCCUACCCCCAAAC
RNAcentral lists this long non-coding RNA (1337 nucleotides) under Salmo salar (Atlantic salmon). RNAcentral's name for it is "lncRNA (ENSSSAG00000087692.1)". The record is from RNAcentral. Lineage: Eukaryota; Metazoa; Chordata; Actinopteri; Salmoniformes; Salmonidae.